Molecule: ribosomal RNA, 467 nt
Filed under: uncultured bacterium
Lineage: Bacteria
Description: partial 16S ribosomal RNA
Rfam family: Bacterial small subunit ribosomal RNA
Source: RNAcentral
GAUGAACGCUGGCGGCGUGCUUAACACAUGCAAGUCGAACGGAAAGGCCUCUGCUUUCAGGGGUACUCGAGUGGCGAACGGGUGAGUAACACGUGGGUGAUCUGCCCUGCACUUCGGGAUAAGCCUGGGUAACUGGGGCUAAUACCGGAUAGGACAAUGGUUUGGAUGCUGUUGUGGAAAGUUUUUCGGGGUGGGAUGAGCUCGCGGCCUAUCAGCUUGUUGGUGGGGUAGUGGCCUACCAAGGCGUCGACGGGUAGCCGGCCUGAGAGGGUGUACGGCCACAUUGGGACUGAGCUGCGGGCAAGAGUCCGAAGGGAUGCAGCAAUGGGGAAUAUUGCACGAAGGGAGGAAGCGUGAUGCAGCGACGCCGCGUGGGGGAUGACGGCCUUCGGGUUGUAAACUCCUAUCGCUAGGGACGAAGCGGUUUUGUGACGGUACCUGGAGAAGAAGCACCGGCUAACUACGUG